GCAAUAGCUGGGACGCAUGUGCGCGUACGUUCGUGCGCCGCUCUUGUUUUUUUGUACGUGAAAUGGAUCUCAGAGAGCUGAGGAACUACGAACAACCAUGUCUGGAUGUUGUGCUGCAACGGGACAGGGUCAGGCAAAGCAUUUUUCUACAUUCCGACGGGCAAAAGUGACGAGACGCGUAGAUCGGCACAGAUCCUGCCGGAAGAACUUCGCGCCUACGAAUAACACACGCUUGAGCGAGAGGAAGCCAACACCGUCACAAAUUUCUGUGACCAGAGCAUCGAGGAAUAUGCACAGGAAAAACCUGCAGACAAGUCAUGUGAUGGUCCCGUCGACGAGGUCGCAGAAACGAGCAAAGGCUGAGACGGAAUGUAGUGACUUGAAGCUCACGGUCUACUCCUCAUGGAAGAUCAACUGCUUGCGUUGGAUCGGGGGAUUGGAAGAACAAUUCACAGCACUUUACAUGCGCGUGGAAAAAAGUUGGCAUUCACAUAGCCAUUGAGCGUGUGAAAUAGAAAUGUAAUUGCGAAGAGAUGAGAAUAAAACUGGUGUAGGUUA
Long non-coding RNA from Ornithodoros turicata, 558 nucleotides. RefSeq lists it as uncharacterized. The record is from RefSeq and is a predicted model, not a curated record. NCBI's taxonomy places the organism in Eukaryota, Metazoa, Arthropoda, Arachnida, Ixodida, Argasidae. The transcript is spliced from 2 exons.